AUUUAUAUAGUUUAAUAUAAAACAUUACACUUUCAUUGUAAAAUUAAGGAAACUCUUUAUAAAUU
RNAcentral lists this transfer RNA (65 nucleotides) under Staphylinidae sp. BMNH 1274222. RNAcentral describes it as "tRNA-Glu". It matches the Rfam family "tRNA". Rfam says of the family: Transfer RNA (tRNA) molecules are approximately 80 nucleotides in length. Their secondary structure includes four short double-helical elements and three loops (D, anti-codon, and T loops). The record is from RNAcentral. Lineage: Eukaryota; Metazoa; Arthropoda; Insecta; Coleoptera; Staphylinidae.